This 473-nucleotide long non-coding RNA is filed under the name Gallus gallus (chicken). Lineage: Eukaryota; Metazoa; Chordata; Aves; Galliformes; Phasianidae. The record is from RNAcentral.
CUCGCGGCGCUCCCGUCCCGUUUGCUGCGGCAGGAAGCGCGCCUCUGCGAGGGGCAGAGCUCCGCGGCCGCGGGUUUUGCGCGAGUUUUGCGCUGGAAUGCCGCCUCGCCUUUUCCUGCCGCUGCGAACGAUUCGGACGGAACCCACCGGCGCGGAGAGGUGCUUUGGCACAGCGGGCAGAAUGAAUGACUCAGAGUUUGGGGGAAGCGGUCCAAAAGCGGAGCGGUGUGAAUCCGACGGGAUAUAAAGCACAGAGGCAAAGCCGUGCACGAAGGCUACGGAGGCACGCACGCACUGUAAAUACACCGCCGGUAUGUACACAGAACAGGGCAGCCCGACAGCAGCACGGUGCGCACAGGCAGACGCGAGCGCUGCUGUCGGACUGCGGUGUACACAUCUGCUCCUGGCCCAGCCGAGGCGUCCCCCGCGAAGAUCCAGCUAGGCAGAAAUAAUCGACCAGUCGUAUAGGGAAA